AGAGGCAUUUUCACAGGGGCAUCGGGGCUUCAGAUCGCCUAUGUCAGUGGUAGAGAAGCUCAACAUGAACCUGCUCUUUCACACUGCUUCACCUCUAAAGACAUCACUGCCCUGGUGGCCCCGCUUCUGUCUAACUCCAAAUUUCGAGGAGUGGACAUUCUCCUGACCUCGCAGUGGCCUCGAGGCGUAUGGCAGUAUGGAAACAGUCCCGAAACUGAUACAAAGUUUUGUGGGGUUUCGUCCAUCGCAGAUCUCGCUGACAAGCUGAAGCCCCGCUACCAUUUUGCGGGACUGGAAGCGGUGCAUUAUGAGAGGCUACCUUACAGGAAUCAUGUGGUCCUUCAAGAGAAUGCACAGCAUGUCAGUAGAUUCAUCGCUUUGGCAACUGUCAACAAUCCUGCCAAAAAGAAGGUG
Sinocyclocheilus grahami is the source of this 414-nucleotide long non-coding RNA. RefSeq lists it as uncharacterized. NCBI's taxonomy places the organism in Eukaryota, Metazoa, Chordata, Actinopteri, Cypriniformes, Cyprinidae. The record is from RefSeq and is a predicted model, not a curated record. The transcript has 3 exons.